CAGUCGCCACGGUAAUACGUAGGGUGCGAGCGUUAAUCGGAAUUACUGGGCGUAAAGCGUGCGCAGGCGGUUUUGUAAGACAGAGGUGAAAUCCCCGGGCUCAACCUGGGAACUGCCUUUGUGACUGCAAGGCUAGAGUACGGCAGAGGGGGAUGGAAUUCCGCGUGUAGCAGUGAAAUGCGUAGAUAUGCGGAGGAACACCGAUGGCGAAGGCAAUCCCCUGGGCCUGUACUGACGCUCAUGCACGAAAGCGUGGGGAGCAAACAGGAUUAGAUACCCCCGUAGUCCCUGUCUCUUAUAC
Molecule: ribosomal RNA, 301 nt
Filed under: uncultured bacterium
Lineage: Bacteria
Description: partial 16S ribosomal RNA
Rfam family: Bacterial small subunit ribosomal RNA
Source: RNAcentral